This 270-nucleotide long non-coding RNA is filed under the name Mytilus galloprovincialis (Mediterranean mussel). The record is from RNAcentral. Lineage: Eukaryota; Metazoa; Mollusca; Bivalvia; Mytilida; Mytilidae.
CUUUGCGGGUGUUAGUGCUGCCUUGUAGCGGCAUUAGCCUGCUCUUUUUCGAAAUCUACAAGGGUGUCUUUAACGUGCAAGAGAUAUGGCUCUCUCUUAACACGGGUCAGCCAUUUAUCGUCCCUUUCCGACGGACUAUCAUCGUUUCCUCAAGACCAUACUCGCAAAUGGUGUCAAGGAGCGCCGAAAAUUCAGUCCCUGAAAUUUUCAUCCCAGACGGGAAUCGAACCAGGAACCUUUGUGUUAGUAGUCCAAUGCACUAACCACUAC